AGAAGCAAAUAAGAGCGAAUGGUGGAUGCCUAGGCUCUCACAGGCGAUGAAGGACGUGAUAAGCUGCGAUAAGCUGCGGGUAGGUGCAAAUAACCUUUGAUCCGCAGAUUUCCGAAUGGGGCAACCCAAUACAUUGAAGAUGUAUUAUACCUUCGGGUAAGCAAACGCAGGGAACUGAAACAUCUAAGUACCUGUAGGAAAAUAAAACAACAGUGAUUCCCCCAGUAGUGGCGAGCGACCGGGGAACAGCCCAAACCACGAUUGUUUCGGCAUUUGUGGGGUAGUAGGACUGCGAUAUUGUAGCAAUAAACGAAAUGGAACGUUUUGGAAAAAGCGAUCAUAGAGGGUGAUAGUCCCGUACAUAUAAGUUUAUGAUACAUAGCAGAAUCCUGAGUAAGGCGGGACACGAGAAAUCCUGUCUGAAUCGGCCGGGCCCAUCCGGCAAGGCUAAAUACUAGUGAGAGACCGAUAGUGAACCAGUACUGUGAAGGAAAGGUGAAAAGAACCCCGAACAGGGGAGUGCAAUAGUCCCUGAACCCAUUCGCUUACAAGCUGUCGGAGCCCUUUUUGGGGUGACGGCGUGCCUUUUGCAUAAUGAGCCUACGAGUUACUCGUCUCUGGCGAGGUUAAGUACGUAAACGUACGUGAGCCGAAGCGAAAGCAAGUCCUAAACAGGCGACUAGUCAGAGGCGGUAGACGCGAAACCUUAGUGAUCUACCCAUGAGCAGGUUGAAGGUUUGGUAACACAAACUGGAGGACCGAACCGAUAAGCGUUGAAAAGCUUCCGGAUGACUUGUGGGUAGGGGUGAAAGGCCAAUCAAACUGGGAAAUAGCUCGUACUCUCCGAAAUGCAUUUAGGUGCAGCCUCUGUUUUUCAGUUACUGAGGUAGAGCUACUGAUUGGAUGCGAGGGCUUCACCGCCUAUCAAAUCCGGCCAAACUCCGAAUGCAGUAACUUUACAGACAGGGAGUGAGCCCGCGGGUGCUAAGGUCCGCGGACGAAAGAGGAAGAACUCAGCCCAUCAGCUAAGGCCCCGAAUUGUAUGCUAAGUUGACAAAACGCGGUGGAACAGCACAGACAGCUAGGAUGUUGGCUUGGAAGCAGCCAUUCAUUUAAAGAGUGCGUAACAGCUCACUAGUCGAGCGGUUCUGCAUGGAUAAUACACGGGCAUAAGCAUACAGCCGAAGCUAUGGACUCAUCGAAAGGUGAGUGGUAGGAGAGCAUUCCAUUUAGCGUUGAAGCAGUAUCGUGAGGUAUUGUGGAGCAGAUGGAAAAGCAAAUGUAGGCAUAAGUAACGAUAAUGCGGGUGAGAACCCCGCACGCCGAAAGGUCAAGGAUUCCCCGGCAAUGUCAAUCAACCGGGGGUAAGUCGGGUCCUAAGUCGAAGCCGAAGGGCGUAGACGAUGGCCAACAGGUUAAUAUUCCUGUACUCAUAUAUGCUGCGAUGCAGGGACGUAGUAGUGACACCGCUGCGUACAGACGAAAUAGUACGUUGAAGCCUUUAUCUGUCGAUGCUGAUAGUUAAGUACGUCAGCAGAGGAGAUGGGUGAUAGUACCGCAAGGCUUCGGCUGCGCGGAUAAUGCGGGUAAUCAGACUACCAAGAAAAUCUGCUAAGCUUCAGGCAUAUAUGACCCGUACUGUAAACGGACACACGUGACCGGGUAGAGAAUACUAAGGCGCUCGAGAUAUUCAUGGCUAAGGAACUAGGCAAAAUGGUCCUGUAACUUCGGGAUAAAGGACGCUGGGGUAAAAUCCAGCCGCAGUAAAAUGGCCCAGGCGACUGUUUACCAAAAACACAUGGCUAUGCUAAAUCGUAAGAUGAUGUAUAUGGCCUGACACCUGCCCGGUGCUGGAAGGUUAAGAGGAGGGUUUAGUAGCAAUACGACGAUCUGAAUUGAAGCCCCAGUAAACGGCGGCCGUAACUAUAACGGUCCUAAGGUAGCGAAAUUCCUUGUC
RNAcentral lists this ribosomal RNA (1957 nucleotides) under human gut metagenome. Its description in RNAcentral is "bacterial LSU rRNA". It matches the Rfam family "Bacterial large subunit ribosomal RNA", at positions 1 to 1973 of the family's 2925-position model. The record is from RNAcentral.